GAUGAACGCUGGCGGCGUGCCUAAUACAUGCAAGUCGAGCGAACGGGCGAGAAGCUUGCUUUUCUGAUGUUAGCGGCGGACGGGUGAGUAACACGUGGAUAACCUACCUAUAAGACUGGGAUAACUUCGGGAAACCGGAGCUAAUACCGGAUAAUAUUUUGAACCGCAUGGUUCAAAAGUGAAAGACGGUCCUGCUGUCACUUAUAGAUGGAUCCGCGCUGCAUUAGCUAGUUGGUAAGGUAACGGCUUACCAAGGCAACGAUGCAUAGCCGACCUGAGAGGGUGAUCGGCCACACUGGAACUGAGACACGGUCCAGACUCCUACGGGAGGCAGCAGUAGGGAAUCUUCCGCAAUGGGCGAAAGCCUGACGGAGCAACGCCGCGUGAGUGAUGAAGGUCUUCGGAUCGUAAAACUCUGUUAUUAGGGAAGAACAUAUGUGUAAGUAACUGUGCACAUCUUGACGGUACCUAAUCAGAAAGCCACGGCUAACUACGUG
RNAcentral lists this ribosomal RNA (497 nucleotides) under uncultured bacterium. Its description in RNAcentral is "partial 16S ribosomal RNA". It matches the Rfam family "Bacterial small subunit ribosomal RNA", at positions 28 to 507 of the family's 1533-position model. The record is from RNAcentral.